Molecule: ribosomal RNA, 1479 nt
Filed under: Ctenogobiops feroculus (sandy prawn-goby)
Lineage: Eukaryota; Metazoa; Chordata; Actinopteri; Gobiiformes; Gobiidae
Description: partial 16S ribosomal RNA
Rfam family: Bacterial large subunit ribosomal RNA
Source: RNAcentral
AUCCCCAACAGCUAGCCCACCUAAAACGACUAACAACCCCCAUCAAUUAAACCAUCAAAGCACUCAGCCAAAUAUUAACAAACCAUUUUUCCACCCAAGUAAAGGGAGACAGAAAAGGACCCCCGGCGCAAUAGACAAAGUACCGCAAGGGAAAGCUGAAAGAGAAAUGAAAAAACCCAGUGAAGGAAGGAAAAGCAGAGCUCCACCCUCGUACCUUUUGCAUCAUGACUUAGCCAGCACCCCCCAGGCAAAGAGCCCUUUAGUCUGGGCCCCCGAAACUAAGCGAGCUACUCCAAGACAGCCUAUUGAAGGGCCAACCCGUCUCUGUGGCAAAAGAGUGGGAAGAGCUUUGAGUAGAGGUGACAGACCUACCGAGCCUAGUGAUAGCUGGUUGCUUGAUAAACGAAUAUGAGUUCAACCUUUUGACAUUUCAAACCCGAAAGGCUAAAAACCCCACCCGGACAAGGCGUAGUCAAAAGAGCUAUUCAAGAGAGGGACAGCUCUCUUGAAAAAAGACACAACUUUAACAGAAGGCUAAAGAUCAAAAGACCAAAAGGAAAGUACCCAAGUGGGCCUAAAAGCAGCCACCAGUAGUAGAAAGCGUUAAAGCUCGAGUAUAUAACCCCUAUAAUCCCGACAAACCCAUCUUACACCCCUUCCCACAUCAAGCCCUUCCAUGCACCCAUGGAAAAGAUAAUGCUAACAUGAGUAAUAAGAGAGCCAAGUCUCUCUCGAACACAUCAGUGUAAGUCAGAACGAACCCCCACUGAUAAUUAACGCCCCCAAACCAAGAGGGAAAUGAGGAAAACCAAACACGGCCAGAAAACCUCCCAAAAAGCAGCGUUACCCCCACACUGGAAUGAUGAACGAAAGACAAAAAGAGAAAGAAGGAACUCGGCAAACACUGGCCUCGCCUGUUUACCAAAAACACCGCCUCUUGCCCGAGAAGUAUAAGAGGUCCCGCCUGCCCUGUGACGAAAGUUUAACGGCCGCGGUAUUUUGACCGUGCGAAGGUAGCGCAAUCACUUGUCUUUUAAAUAGAGACCUGUAUGAAUGGCAUAACGAGGGCUAAGCUGUCUCCUUUUUCCAGUCAAUGAAAUUGAUCUGCCCGUGCAGAAGCGGGCAUCCCAACAUAAGACGAGAAGACCCUAUGGAGCUUUAGACGCCGGAGUAGAACACGUUAAACCCCCACGACAAGGUGGACCCAAACCAAGUGACCCCUGCUCCUAUGUCUUUGGUUGGGGCGACCGCGGAGAAACAAAAAUCCCCCGUGCAGAAAGGGGCAACCCCCCUAAAGCAAGAGCCACAGCUCUAGAGAACAGAACAUCUGACUAAAAAGAUCCGGCAACGCCGAUCAACGGACCGAGUUACCCUAGGGAUAACAGCGCAAUCCCCUUUUAGAGCCCAUAUCGACAAGGGGGUUUACGACCUCGAUGUUGGAUCAGGACUUCCUAAUGGUGCAGCCGCUAUUAAGGGUUC